AUGGGGAGGACCAAACUCAGGACAUGGAGCUUGUGGAGACCAGGCCAGCAGGGGAUGGACCCUUCCAGAAGUGGGAAGCUGUGGUGGUGCCUUCUGGAGAAGAGCAGAGAUACACAUGCCAUGUGCAGCACGAGGGGCUGCCGGAGCCCCUCACCCUGAGGUGAGCACCAUCUCCCCAGCCCACCAUCCCCAUCGUGGGCAUCAGCGCUGGCCUGGCUGUCCCAGGAACUCUGGUCCCUGGAGUUGUGGUUGCUGCUUUGAUGUGGAGGAGGAAGAACUCAGGUAGAGAAGGGGUGAGGGGUGGGGUCUGGGUUUUCUUGUCCCACGGUGGUUUCAAGCCCCAGGUAGAAGCGUCCCCUGCCUGGUUACUGGGAAGCACCAUCCACACAUGGGCCGACCCCAGCCUGGGGCCCUGUGUGCCAGCACUUGGUCUUUUGUGAAGCACAUGUGACAAUGAAGGACAGAUCCAUCACCUUGGUGAUUGUGGUGUUGGGGUCCUGAUUUCAGCAUUCAUGAGUCAGGGGAAGGUCCCUGCUAAGGACAGACCUCAGGAGGGUAGGUGGUGCAGGACACACACCUGCUUUCCUUGUUUUCUGAUCCUGCCUGGGUUCUGAGUCAUAAUUCUGGAAACUUCUCUGGGGUCCAAGACUAGGAGGCUCCUCUAAGAUCUCAUGGCCCUACCUCCUCCCUAUUCCCUCACAGGACAUUUUCUUCCCACAAGUGGAAAAAGAGGGAGUUAAUCUCAGGUUGUGUAUAAGUGGUGGGGGCAGGCGUGUGGAGGAGCUCACCCACACCAUAAUUCCUCCUGUCCCACAUGUCCUGCAGGCUCUGACGGGGUCCUGUGUUUGUUCCACUCCAGGCCGCAACAGUGCCCGGGACUCUGACAUGUCUCUCAUGACUUCUAAAGCCUGAGACAGCUGCCUUGUGUGGGAUGGAGAUACAGGAUUUCUUCACACCUCCCCUUUGUGACUUGAAGAGCCUUUGGCAUCUCUUUCUGCAAAGGCAUCUGAAUGUGUCUGCGUCCCUGUUAGCAU
Molecule: long non-coding RNA, 1034 nt
Organism: Sapajus apella (tufted capuchin)
Lineage: Eukaryota; Metazoa; Chordata; Mammalia; Primates; Cebidae
Exons: 3
Source: RefSeq, a predicted model, not a curated record